RNAcentral lists this ribosomal RNA (1381 nucleotides) under Lacticaseibacillus rhamnosus. RNAcentral's name for it is "bacterial SSU rRNA". It matches the Rfam family "Bacterial small subunit ribosomal RNA", at positions 76 to 1444 of the family's 1533-position model. Lineage: Bacteria; Bacillati; Bacillota; Bacilli; Lactobacillales; Lactobacillaceae. The record is from RNAcentral.
UUGAUUUAAUUUUGAACGAGUGGCGGACGGGUGAGUAACACGUGGGUAACCUGCCCUUAAGUGGGGGAUAACAUUUGGAAACAGAUGCUAAUACCGCAUAAAUCCAAGAACCGCAUGGUUCUUGGCUGAAAGAUGGCGUAAGCUAUCGCUUUUGGAUGGACCCGCGGCGUAUUAGCUAGUUGGUGAGGUAACGGCUCACCAAGGCAAUGAUACGUAGCCGAACUGAGAGGUUGAUCGGCCACAUUGGGACUGAGACACGGCCCAAACUCUACGGGAGGCAGCAGUAGGGAAUCUUCCACAAUGGACGCAAGUCUGAUGGAGCAACGCCGCGUGAGUUAAGAAGGCUUUCGGGUCGUAAAACUCUGUUGUUGGAGAAGAAUGGUCGGCAGAGUAACUGUUGUCGGCGUGACGGUAUCCAACCAGAAAGCCACGGCUAACUACGUGCCAGCAGCCGCGGUAAUACGUAGGUGGCAAGCGUUAUCCGGAUUUAUUGGGCGUAAAGCGAGCGCAGGCGGUUUUUUAAGUCUGAUGUGAAAGCCCUCGGCUUAACCGAGGAAGUGCAUCGGAAACUGGGAAACUUGAGUUCAGAAGAGGACAGUGGAACUCCAUGUGUAGCGGUGAAAUGCGUAGAUAUAUGGAAGAACACCAGUGGCGAAGGCGGCUGUCUGGUCUGUAACUGACGCUGAGGCUCGAAAGCAUGGGUAGCGAACAGGAUUAGAUACCCUGGUAGUCCAUGCCGUAAACGAUGAAUGCUAGGUGUUGGAGGGUUUCCGCCCUUCAGUGCCGCAGCUAACGCAUUAAGCAUUCCGCCUGGGGAGUACGACCGCAAGGUUGAAACUCAAAGGAAUUGACGGGGGCCCGCACAAGCGGUGGAGCAUGUGGUUUAAUUCGAAGCAACGCGAAGAACCUUACCAGGUCUUGACAUCUUUUGAUCACCUGAGAGAUCAGGUUUCCCCUUCGGGGGCAAAAUGACAGGUGGUGCAUGGUUGUCGUCAGCUCGUGUCGUGAGAUGUUGGGUUAAGUCCCGCAACGAGCGCAACCCUUAUGACUAGUUGCCAGCAUUUAGUUGGGCACUCUAGUAAGACUGCCGGUGACAAACCGGAGGAAGGUGGGGAUGACGUCAAAUCAUCAUGCCCCUUAUGACCUGGGCUACACACGUGCUACAAUGGAUGGUACAACGAGUUGCGAGACCGCGAGGUCAAGCUAAUCUCUUAAAGCCAUUCUCAGUUCGGACUGUAGGCUGCAACUCGCCUACACGAAGUCGGAAUCGCUAGUAAUCGCGGAUCAGCACGCCGCGGUGAAUACGUUCCCGGGCCUUGUACACACCGCCCGUCACACCAUGAGAGUUUGUAACACCCGAAGCCGGUGGCGUAACCCUUUU